RNAcentral lists this ribosomal RNA (253 nucleotides) under Holdemanella biformis DSM 3989. RNAcentral describes it as "partial 16S ribosomal RNA". It matches the Rfam family "Bacterial small subunit ribosomal RNA", at positions 524 to 776 of the family's 1533-position model. RNAcentral also lists the same sequence under 1 other name. Lineage: Bacteria; Bacillati; Bacillota; Erysipelotrichia; Erysipelotrichales; Erysipelotrichaceae. The record is from RNAcentral.
UACGUAGGUGGCGAGCGUUAUCCGGAAUGAUUGGGCGUAAAGGGUGCGUAGGUGGCAGAUCAAGUCUGGAGUAAAAGGUAUGGGCUCAACCCGUACUUGCUCUGGAAACUGAUCAGCUAGAGAACAGAAGAGGACGGCGGAACUCCAUGUGUAGCGGUAAAAUGCGUAGAUAUAUGGAAGAACACCGGUGGCGAAGGCGGCCGUCUGGUCUGGAUUCUGACACUGAAGCACGAAAGCGUGGGGAGCAAAUAGG